UACGGGGGGAGCAAGCGUUGUUCGGAUUUACUGGGCGUAAAGGGCGCGUAGGCGGUCAGCACAAGUCAGUUGUGAAAUCUCCGGGCUUAACUCGGAAAGGUCAACUGAUACUGUGCGACUAGAGUGCAGAAGGGGCAACUGGAAUUCUCGGAGUAGCGGUGAAAUGCGCAGAUAUCAGGAAGAACACCCGUGGCGAAAGCGGCUCUCUGGAACGGUACUGACGCUGAGACGCGAAAGCGUGGGGAGCGAACAGG
This 254-nucleotide ribosomal RNA is filed under the name uncultured bacterium. Its description in RNAcentral is "partial 16S ribosomal RNA". It matches the Rfam family "Bacterial small subunit ribosomal RNA", at positions 524 to 776 of the family's 1533-position model. The record is from RNAcentral.